UACGUAGGUGGCAAGCGUUGUCCGGAUUUACUGGGUGUAAAGGGCGUGUAGCCGGGCUGACAAGUCAGAUGUGAAAUCCGGGGGCUCAACCCCCGAACUGCAUUUGAAACUGUUGGUCUUGAGUAUCGGAGAGGCAGGCGGAAUUCCUAGUGUAGCGGUGAAAUGCGUAGAUAUUAGGAGGAACACCAGUGGCGAAGGCGGCCUGCUGGACGACAACUGACGGUGAGGCGCGAAAGCGUGGGGAGCAAACGGG
This 253-nucleotide ribosomal RNA is filed under the name uncultured bacterium. Its description in RNAcentral is "partial 16S ribosomal RNA". It matches the Rfam family "Bacterial small subunit ribosomal RNA", at positions 524 to 776 of the family's 1533-position model. The record is from RNAcentral.